UCGGAAUGGAUCUAGUGCCAAGACGAGGAACAUGGACAUGGCAAGUGUAUGGAUAUGCCAAACGAUGGUUGGUAGACGCGAAGGAGGCCAUCAUGAGCUGCCUUUUGCAGUGGAGGAUGACCUUAUGGCCGCGACAGGCAAGCAUCAGUAGAGGCUCCCUGCAAGUGACGUUUGGAAAGAGUCAAAGUUGGCCUCUAUGUCGAUAAACCGAUGGAGCGAAACUUCAGGUACUUAAUUACAAGUUCCCCCCUUUAGCUGUGGCUAGUUUUCCAUCAGAGGUCUGGGAAACCAGGCACAGCAGCGCUCAGGCGUGCCGAGCCCAGGCGAGCGGGUGAGGAUGUCAAGAUCCCCACUCGGCGCCACAGUAAUGGCUAUUGGCCGUCCAUGGGGUCCACGCCGGCUUUUACGGGCGGCCCCCGCAUUUGCGCGGAACUUGUAACUUGGUAAUUAAUGCUGGGCGUGUGUGCUUUCGUGUGUCUGCGUGUUAUACUGUAGGCCAAUGCAAAUGCAAAUGCCCAUGGAAACUGCUUACCUAAGGCUACGGGCUGGCAUGGUUAACCUUUGGAAAUCGGCCAGGCACUGCCCUGCUCGGGAGGGUCCGGAUUGUGUCUUGGGUGGCGAAACUGCCUAUUUUCUGCGUUGUACAUUUAAAUUUGCACAUAUCUGCGUCACUGGUACCGCCGCAGUUGCGUUGCAAGUUACCACAAUUUGCAACGAAGCCCGGUAUGACGCGGCCAGAGCGCCAAGCAAGCAACCCAAUACGACACAGCAUGGCAACAGUCUACAUGGUACGCGUGGAGGACGGAUUGGAUUCCAGUCCGGUUUGAGCGAUUGUUGCUUUCGUAAAACUGUGAUGCCUCAUAGCCCAGUAAUGUUGUGACUCGUUGUGUUACAUGUGCACGCCGAGCGGCAGACGGCGGCAGCUUUGCAAAAGCCGGGAUGUUACUGUAAUCGAUGAAACAUAAAAUGGGUCAUCUGCAGGAGUAAUCAUUAUAUUAACAAAUAAUGUGGAAACUUAAGGAUGUUUUUCUGCCAGCAUAAUUGGUCAGAAUCCAGGGCUGUCCAAUAUGACGCAGCGACCCGCUAGCACCAGGACGACUCUUGUCCUCGUAGUCUGCACUCAUACAUUUUUGGUUAAAAUUAUUGCGAUAAUACCAUUGAGAAGGACGUUCCGUCGUAGGAACCUUGUGAUACUUUGACACUCUCGUAUUGUCACGUCUGUGUCUUGCGAACAUCUCCUUAAGCCCUAGGAAUAUGUCCAACACAAGAAAAAGCGCAGCUAGGGUGCCGAGGUCAGCUGAGGAAGGCCGGCCGUCCACAUGCGCAAUGACAGCCGCUAAUAACCGCUCUCAAAGCAAAGUGGCUUUCAACGAUGAAAGGGAAGAGUACGAAUACAGGGACAGCUUCUCGGACAGCGCUAGCAGUGACUCGGAGCAGACGGCUUGCAGCACCAGCGAUGAAAUCAGCAGCAGCCCUGACCGCGGUCACCGCGGCUCAGGCAGGCGCAGUAGAGGCGGGCGCGAUUACCGAAACCGGUCACACUCCUCUGGCCGAUACCAUAGCAGGGAUCGCCGAUCACGGCAACAUGGACAGCAGUUUCUACAAGGUGUGCG
RNAcentral lists this long non-coding RNA (1613 nucleotides) under Volvox carteri. RNAcentral's name for it is "long non-coding RNA (VCAR_LNC000409)". Lineage: Eukaryota; Viridiplantae; Chlorophyta; Chlorophyceae; Chlamydomonadales; Volvocaceae. The record is from RNAcentral.